RNAcentral lists this ribosomal RNA (375 nucleotides) under uncultured bacterium. RNAcentral describes it as "bacterial SSU rRNA". It matches the Rfam family "Bacterial small subunit ribosomal RNA", at positions 521 to 896 of the family's 1533-position model. The record is from RNAcentral.
UAAUACAGAGGGUGCGAGCGUUAAUCGGAAUUACUGGGCGUAAAGCGCACGUAGGCGGCUUGGUAUGUCGGGUGUGAAAUCCCCGGGCUCAACCUGGGAACUGCAUCCGAAACUGCCUUGCUCGAGUAUGGGAGAGGGAAGUGGAAUUUCCGGUGUAGCGGUGAAAUGCGUAGAUAUCGGAAGGAACAUCAGUGGCGAAGGCGACUUCCUGGACCAAUACUGACGCUCAGGUGCGAAAGCGUGGGGAGCAAACAGGAUUAGAUACCCUGGUAGUCCACGCCGUAAACGAUGGAUGCUAGCCGUUGGCAGGCUUGCCUGUCAGUGGCGCAGCUAACGCAUUAAGCAUCCCGCCUGGGGAGUACGGUCGCAAGAUUA